AACGAACGCUGGCGGCGCGCCUAAUACAUGCAAGUCGAGCGAGAAGACGUAGCAAUACGUUUGUAAAGCGGCGAACGGGUGAGGAAUACAUGGGUAACCUACCCUCGAGUGGGGAAUAACUAGCCGAAAGGUUAGCUAAUACCGCGUACGCUCCUUGGACUUCGGUUCAGGGAGGAAAGCGAUACCGUGGGUAUCGCGCUCUUGGAUGGGCUCAUGUCCUAUCAGCUUGUUGGUGAGGUAACGGCUCACCAAGGCUUCGACGGGUAGCUGGUCUGAGAGGACAAUCAGCCACACUGGCACUGCGACACGGGCCAGACUCCUACGGGAGGCAGCAGUAAGGAAUAUUGCGCAAUGGGCGAAAGCCUGACGC
Molecule: ribosomal RNA, 370 nt
Filed under: uncultured bacterium
Lineage: Bacteria
Description: bacterial SSU rRNA
Rfam family: Bacterial small subunit ribosomal RNA
Source: RNAcentral